RNAcentral lists this ribosomal RNA (515 nucleotides) under uncultured bacterium. Its description in RNAcentral is "bacterial SSU rRNA". It matches the Rfam family "Bacterial small subunit ribosomal RNA", at positions 26 to 518 of the family's 1533-position model. The record is from RNAcentral.
GGCUACGAGGACGAACGGCUGGCGGCGUGCCUAAUACAUGCAAGUCGAGCGAAUGAUAAGGAGCUUGCUCCUUGAUUAGCGGCGGACGGGUGAGUAACACGUGGGUAACCUACCCUAUAGACUGGGAUAACUUCGGGAAACCGGAGCUAAUACCGGAUAAUACUUCGAAACACAUGUUUUGAAGUUGAAAGAUGGUUUCGGCUAUCACUAUAGGAUGGACCCGCGGCGCAUUAGCUAGUUGGUGGGGUAAUGGCUCACCAAGGCAACGAUGCGUAGCCGACCUGAGAGGGUGAUCGGCCACACUGGGACUGAGACACGGCCCAGACUCCUACGGGAGGCAGCAGUAGGGAAUCUUCCACAAUGGACGAAAGUCUGAUGGAGCAACGCCGCGUGAGUGAAGAAGGAUUUCGGUUCGUAAAACUCUGUUGCAAGGGAAGAACAAGUAGCGUAGUAACUGGCGCUACCUUGACGGUACCUUGUUAGAAAGCCACGGCUAACUACGUGCCAGCCGCCGC